CCAGAUGAGGGCUUCGGCCCCCGUCCCAACCCUUUGUUGACCAAACCUUUUUGCCUCGGGGGCAGAGCGUCCGCCGCCGCCCCCGGAGGACCACCGAACGCUGUCUCUUUACGUCGGAGUCUUAAUGAAAAUGAAUCA
This 138-nucleotide unclassified non-coding RNA is filed under the name uncultured Capnodiales. RNAcentral's name for it is "sequence contains ITS1". Lineage: Eukaryota; Fungi; Ascomycota; Dothideomycetes; Capnodiales. The record is from RNAcentral.